UACGGAGGGGGCUAGCGUUGUUCGGAAUUACUGGGCGUAAAGCGCACGUAGGCGGCUUUGUAAGUUAGAGGUGAAAGCCCAGGGCCCAACCCUGGAAUUGCCUUUAAGACUGCAUCGCUUGAACAUCGGAGAGGUGAGUGGAAUUCCGAGUGUAGAGGUGAAAUUCGUAGAUAUUCGGAAGAACACCAGUGGCGAAGGCGACUCACUGGACAUGUAUUGACGCUGAGGUGCGAAAGCGUGGGGAGCAAACAGG
RNAcentral lists this ribosomal RNA (253 nucleotides) under uncultured bacterium. RNAcentral describes it as "partial 16S ribosomal RNA". It matches the Rfam family "Bacterial small subunit ribosomal RNA", at positions 524 to 776 of the family's 1533-position model. The record is from RNAcentral.